CUUUCGCGGCCGAAGCUCUUGCAUGCCUCCAAUCGCUCAAAGUGGGGAGGGAUCAGGGGUUGAGGGAGGUGAUGGAGGGUGAUUCAUUAUCUGUGAUAAAGAAAGCAAGAUCGGAAAAUCUGGACAGAUCAUCCAUUGGCCCUUACAUUUUGGACAUAAAAAAUGAAGCAGGGAAGUUCAAGGAGGUUCGCUUCACCUAUGUUUCACGUUCGGCGAACAAAUCUGCGCAUUCUCUGGCAAAGGAGGGUUUUAGAAGGGAAGAUGACUGGGGUCUCGACCAAGACACGCUGGAGUUGUUUGUGGCUCGAGAGAAUCGGAACUCUUUCACUUACGCCGGCGAGGAAGAUGUGGAGGUGACUGGAUAGAACGAUUUGUUUCUUCCAAAGGAUUGUGAAGGGCGGAGAUGAAGCAAAGAAUCUGGAUGAUUGCUUUGGAACGGGAAAAGGAAAUGUUCCAUUUCCAAAAGAUAAUUCAUGGACCUGUUCUUUUCAGUUUGGAGUGCCCCGAGAAGUGGCGUGCAUUUUUUAGUGGGACUGAGCUCCAUUUACCCUGCUGGGGUUUUAAAUUUUAUUUUAUUUCUUCUUUAUUUUUCUUUUCUUUCUCAGUUUUGCUUGGG
Molecule: long non-coding RNA, 616 nt
Filed under: Gossypium barbadense (sea-island cotton)
Lineage: Eukaryota; Viridiplantae; Streptophyta; Magnoliopsida; Malvales; Malvaceae
Description: long non-coding RNA (GBAR_LNC012469)
Source: RNAcentral